UGGGGAAUAUUGGACAAUGGGCGAAAGCCUGAUCCAGCCAUGCCGCGUGAGUGACGAAGGCCUUAGGGUUGUAAAACUCUUUCGUCGGGGACGAUAAUGACGGUACCCGAAGAAGAAGCUCCGACUAACUUCGUGCCAGCAGCCGCGGUAAUACGAAGGGAGCUAGCGUUGUUCGGAAUCACUGGGCGUAAAGCGCACGUAGGCGGAUAGUUAAGUCAGGGGUGAAAUCCUGGGGCUCAACCCCAGAACUGCCUUUGAUACUGGCUGUCUCGAGGUCGAGAGAGGUUGGUGGAAUUCCUAGUGUAGAGGUGAAAUUCGUAGAUAUUAGGAAGAACACCAGUGGCGAAGGCGGCCAACUGGCUCGAUACUGACGCUGAGGUGCGAAAGCGUGGGGAGCAAACAGGAUUAGAUACCCAUGUAGUCCCUGAGCGGGCUGGCAAGGCGCAU
This 447-nucleotide ribosomal RNA is filed under the name uncultured bacterium. Its description in RNAcentral is "bacterial SSU rRNA". It matches the Rfam family "Bacterial small subunit ribosomal RNA", at positions 355 to 825 of the family's 1533-position model. The record is from RNAcentral.